RNAcentral lists this ribosomal RNA (864 nucleotides) under uncultured Lysobacteraceae bacterium. Its description in RNAcentral is "bacterial SSU rRNA". It matches the Rfam family "Bacterial small subunit ribosomal RNA", at positions 45 to 913 of the family's 1533-position model. Lineage: Bacteria; Pseudomonadati; Pseudomonadota; Gammaproteobacteria; Lysobacterales; Lysobacteraceae. The record is from RNAcentral.
GGCCUAACACAUGCAAGUCGAGCGGGGUGUAGCAAUACACCUAGCGGCGGACGGGUGAGCAAUACAUAGGAAUCUACCUUUUAGUGGGGGAUAGCCCGGGGAAACCCGGAUUAAUACCGCAUGAUGUCGCAAGACCAAAGCGGGGGACCGUAAGGCCUCGCGCUGAAAGAUGAGCCUAUGUCUGAUUAGCUAGUUGGCGGGGUAAAAGCCCACCAAGGCUACGAUCAGUAGCUGGUUUGAGAGAACGAUCAGCCACACCGGAACUGAGACACGGUCCGGACUCCUACGGGAGGCAGCAGUGGGGAAUAUUGGACAAUGGGCGAAAGCCUGAUCCAGCAAUUCCGCGUGUGUGAAGAAGGCCUUCGGGUUGUAAAGCACUUUAGGCAGGGAAGAAAAAAUCGGAGUGAAUAACUCCGGUCUUGACGGUACCUGAGAAAUAAGCACCGGCUAACUCUGUGCCAGCAGCCGCGGUAAUACAGAGGGUGCAAGCGUUAAUCGGAUUUACUGGGCGUAAAGCGUGCGUAGGCGGUUCAUUAAGUCGGUUGUGAAAUCCCUGGGCUUAACCUGGGAACUGCAGUCGAUACUGGUGGACUAGAGUACGGUAGAGGGUGGCGGAACUCCGGGUGUAGCGGUGAAAUGCGUAGAUAUCCGGAAGAACACCGAUGGCGAAGGCAACCACCUGGGCCUGUACUGACGCUGAGGUACGAAAGCGUGGGGAGCAAACAGGAUUAGAUGCCCUGGUAGUCCACGCUGUAAACGAUGAGAACUUGACGUCGGUUCGCCUAGCGAAUCGGUGUCGUAGCUAACGCGCUAAGUUCUCCGCCUGGGGAGUACGGCCGCAAGGUUGAAACUCAAAGGAAUUGA